GAUGAAGACGUAGCGAAAUGCGAUAAGUAAUGUGAAUUGCAGAAUUCAGUGAAUCAUCGAGUCUUUGAACGCACAUUGCGCCCCCUGGUAUUCCGGGGGGCAUGCCUGUCCGAGCGUCAUUGCUGCCCUCAAGCACGGCUUGUGUGUUGGGCCCCCGCCCCCCGGCUUCGGGGGGCGGGCCCGAAAGGCAGCGGCGGCACCGCGUCCGGUCCUCGAGCGUAUGGGGCUUCGUCACCCGCUCUGUAGGCCCGGCCGGCGCCCGCCGGCGACCCCAAUCAAUCUUUCCAGGUUGACCUCGGAUCAGGUAGGGAUACCCGCUGAACUUAAGCAUAUCAAUAAGCGGAGGA
RNAcentral lists this unclassified non-coding RNA (347 nucleotides) under soil metagenome. Its description in RNAcentral is "partial contains 5.8S ribosomal RNA, internal transcribed spacer 2, and large subunit ribosomal RNA". The stretch from base 1 to 119 matches the Rfam family "5.8S ribosomal RNA", at positions 35 to 154 of the family's 154-position model. The record is from RNAcentral.